CUUUGUUUUUUGCACACCCCGUCCACGGGAAAGAUGCGGCUUCAUGUGGACAGAGCAGAGUAAGCUGCAGACACACACAGAGCUAAUGAGCUAUAUUUUAAGCAAAAUGGAUUUUGCUUGAAAUCAACACCAAAUGAGGGUUUUUUUUGGCUUCCGUAGGAAACUAUUUUAGAAACAGGCAGUGUUCAGACGAGGAGCAGUCUGUGGGGGAGUAGAUGUACUUUGGGACCAAANUUAAGCACACCAUGGAAAAACCAUGCCUGGAAGUUCUGAUCGUUUCCAGAGAAGCUGCUGGUGGUGCUCAGAAACGCACAGCACCACUCUGGGAAGAAGCUUCCCAGCCUGUUACUAAGAGGUUACGGAUGGAUUUACCAGCUUAUCCACAGGAGUGGAAAUCCUCUCUCCCACUGCAUCCAAUUUCCCUGCAGGUUGAUCUCAGCAUAAAUAUCAGUCAACAUGCCUCCUGUUCAUCUUCUGAGUUCAUCAAAGGGAGAAGUGCCUCCACCCAGGCCUACCCCACCAUGCAGCCCCAGUCUGCACAACAAAGCCAGAAUACUCGACCGAGANCUCUUUAUAAUCCUUACGAUUUUACCUCCGAUGAACUUGACCCAGCCUGUGAGUGGCCAAGGGAAGCAUCUUCAGCGAAGGAACAUAAGACAGAACAGUGUUAGUAUACUUUUUAUGAGGAAAGUUGGACUCGGGUGUUUGAAAAUGAGACAUUGUAAAGUUUCUGGGAUCCUGCUAAAGCCUGCACAAANCAGGGACAACAAAAGGGAUUUGGGGUCAGCAGCUUGGAUGGCUUCAAAAAAAGUUUGGACCCAUUAAUGGAGGCACAGGACUAUCGAUGGCUAUUUGCUCUAUGGCAGUAGGAGGUGCUAUGCACCCUAAGAUCUGCUGGUGAGGCUCUCUUGGCCAUGCCACCCCUUUCACUAUUUAAGGGGUGAGGAUGUGUGGGAGGGCCUUCUCGGUCAUAGCCCCCAGGCUAUGGAACAGUCUCCCUUCUGAGGUAUGAAAGGCACCUUGUUGUAUGUAUUCAGAGUGAUUGGUGAAGACACACCUCUUUACCCUGGCCUUUGGCUGAGGGAGCAGCAAGCCUUCCCCAUGCAGCCACUGUCACUGUUUUAGCCAAUCUACUUUAUCUGCUUUUAUAAUGAUUUUAUUGUGACCUGCCCUGAGUCCUUCU
This 1183-nucleotide long non-coding RNA is filed under the name Salvator merianae (Argentine black and white tegu). RNAcentral describes it as "lncRNA (ENSSMRG00000003015.1)". The record is from RNAcentral. Lineage: Eukaryota; Metazoa; Chordata; Lepidosauria; Squamata; Teiidae.